GUCUGAGUAUUUGAGAGGAGGCAGGAUUCCAAGCCCAGAAGCAACCCCUACCCAGCAGCUCUCAGAGCUGAUGUAGAAGGUCAAACCAAUAAGGGUGCCUAUUACCAAGGAGUCCUCUGAUGAUUACUGAGAAGCUUAACCCUUCUCUAUUACCCUAGACUCAGACCUCUCUGCCCAUCCUUCUAAGAAUGACAGUUUCUGGCUCAGUUCUGAGCAGAUGGCCUUCCUGUCAUUUCCCCCUGGCAGAAGCAUCUGCUUUAGGCCUGGUGAAAAUGGGUAAGAGUCUGGAGAAAUACAGCCUAAGGGAGCCCCUGAACACUCCACAGGUCAAUGAUGAGUCCUUCAUCCCUCCCGAGACCACCACUCACUCUUUUCAUCUGCCGAGACCAGGGUUUGGACCACAGGACACCUGCACACUUCCUGCUCAUGAAGUUUAACCAUCCAUGAACUGUUGACGAUCAUCACCAGGACAUUCCCGAACAUCAUCAGAGCCAUUUGUCGUACCUUAUUUAGCAGGACUAAAUAAAAUAUGAGCCUCAGCGUGAUGGAUUUCUGAUGUUGCAUUUUGUCCAGGAGGAAAAAGGCAGGAAGACCAGCGGAAGCCUUGAGCAGGGCCUUUGGCAGCGUUCACAGUGGGCUGCAUGAAAGUCACCUAGGAUCUUCUGGGAGAGCUGGCUUUGGGGGUCUUCUCAGCAGCACAUGCAGGUUCUCUAUUUCUUAAGCAUUUCACAACUAAUACUUGGGUGUGCUAUGCUGGGUUUUUGGUUUUUUUUUAAGAUUGGCCCUGAGCUGGGGCCACCCCAUGGCUGAGUGGUUAAGUUUGC
This 824-nucleotide long non-coding RNA is filed under the name Equus caballus (horse). Its description in RNAcentral is "lncRNA (ENSECAG00000051451.1)". The record is from RNAcentral. Lineage: Eukaryota; Metazoa; Chordata; Mammalia; Perissodactyla; Equidae.